This 378-nucleotide ribosomal RNA is filed under the name Bacillus pumilus. RNAcentral describes it as "bacterial SSU rRNA". It matches the Rfam family "Bacterial small subunit ribosomal RNA", at positions 81 to 452 of the family's 1533-position model. The record is from RNAcentral. Lineage: Bacteria; Bacillati; Bacillota; Bacilli; Caryophanales; Bacillaceae.
GCUCCCGGAUGUUAGCGGCGGACGGGUGAGUAACACGUGGGUAACCUGCCUGUAAGACUGGGAUAACUCCGGGAAACCGGAGCUAAUACCGGAUAGUUCCUUGAACCGCAUGGUUCAAGGAUGAAAGACGGUUUCGGCUGUCACUUACAGAUGGACCCGCGGCGCAUUAGCUAGUUGGUGGGGUAAUGGCUCACCAAGGCGACGAUGCGUAGCCGACCUGAGAGGGUGAUCGGCCACACUGGGACUGAGACACGGCCCAGACUCCUACGGGAGGCAGCAUUAGGGAAUCUUCCGCAAUGGACGAAAGUCUGACGGAGCAACGCCCCGUGAGUGAUGAAGGUUUUCGGAUCGUAAAGUUCUGUUGUUAGGGAAGAACAA